This 1071-nucleotide long non-coding RNA is filed under the name Anser cygnoides (Swan goose). RNAcentral's name for it is "lncRNA (ENSACDG00005007579.1)". The record is from RNAcentral. Lineage: Eukaryota; Metazoa; Chordata; Aves; Anseriformes; Anatidae.
AUGGGAUUCCUGUUUCCCAGAUGCCCAGCAGGCAGCCCUCCAGCUCAGCGCUGCCAGCCCUUCUGCACCGAGGGCUGGUGCUGGGAUCACAGAGGGGCAAGAUCAGGUCAGGCUCUGGCUUCACGCAGUCUGGGGUCCUGCCCGGGCCAGGGCCAGAGCCAGCAGCUGAGCAGGCAGCAGCCAGAAGCCCUUCUCCAGCUGCCCUGGCCCUUCCUGCCCUGCUUGCUGCAGCUUUGCAGGGCUUCCAACUGCACUCAGGUUGGCUGGAAGCAGACUUUGACUGAGGUUGAUGUGCAAGGUCUUGGGCUGGUCCUCAGGCAUCAUUUAGCACGAACCAUGCUCAAUUCUGUUGCUGGUAACUUGCUCCCUGCGGGGGGAAUCAGAGGUACCCCUGGCUCUGCAGGUCUGCGUGAGCAAACAGCCCCUCUGCGAGCACAAUGUGGGCGUGCAGGAGUGGUUCGCUCCCCUGGGUGGCAGCUCCCUAUGCUUAAAAUACAGAUUAAUAAUUAUCCUCCCAGGCUCCACGCAGCUGUAAUCUGUCCAAGCCAGGGGCUGCCUGGGCUCGCUGCUGCAACCAUCCCUGCAGUGUUGCCAAAACGCACAGGAGGGGGCCGGGGCAGUCCCUGGCUGCCCUCUGCCCCGUGCUGUUGGCUGUGCUGGGGUUAUCCUGGGCCUCUGCUUGGGUCCAGCCGUGCUGGGCUGCACCUUACUCGGUGUGUGCAUCCCAUCCGUGACGAACCGAGUUCCUGGAGCCUGGGAGCACCCCGGGGAGCUCCUGUCCUGCACUUGGCAGGAUCUGGGCCACAGCUAGAGGGGAGAAGGGGGCCAGGAUACAGCCAGGAUACCGGGACAGGUCCUCGCCCCUCUCCAUGCACCUCUGCACCUUUUGCUCAAAAAACUGCAACCCUCUGUGAGACCAGCACGGCCCGGCCAUGUCCUUGGCAGGUUUGUGCCAGCAUAGGUUUUCUCCCAUAUUCUUCCUUUCCUCCAGCAGCACUGCCAAAGAGGUUGGGCAGCAUCCUGAAAGGCGAGCUUGUGCUGAAACGGGAGCUGGGCUUUCAGCAGGUCUGA